ACCCGAAGAAGAGGAAGAGU
This 20-nucleotide small nuclear RNA is filed under the name Arabidopsis thaliana (thale cress). RNAcentral's name for it is "snRNA_06629". Lineage: Eukaryota; Viridiplantae; Streptophyta; Magnoliopsida; Brassicales; Brassicaceae. The record is from RNAcentral.